RNAcentral lists this ribosomal RNA (2169 nucleotides) under Triticum aestivum (bread wheat). RNAcentral describes it as "partial small subunit ribosomal RNA". Lineage: Eukaryota; Viridiplantae; Streptophyta; Magnoliopsida; Poales; Poaceae. The record is from RNAcentral.
AUGGCCGGCUUCCUCCAGCGCCACGUCCUCCCGCCCUUCCGCCGCCCGCCGCUCCCCUUCUUCCGCCACGGCGCCGGCGCCGCGUCCUCCGCCAACCAGCCCCAGGGCCGCCGGCCAUGGACGCCCAGCCGCAUCCUCGACCCCGGGGACGACGUCGUCCUUAACUGGAACCGCCUCUUCCUCGUCACCUGCAUGGUCGGCCUCUUCGUCGACCCCAUGUACUUCUACCUCCUCUACGCCAAGACGCAGGCGUGUGUCAAGAUGAACAUGGGCAUCGGCGUCGCCGUCACCGCCGUGCGCACCGUCGCCGACCUCUUCUACCUCGCGCACAUGAUCCUCAAGUUCCGCACCGCUUUCGUCGCGCCCAGCUCGCGCGUGUUCGGGCGCGGCGAGCUCGUCAGGGACCCCGACCAGAUCGCCAUCCGGUACCUCAAGAACGACUUCAUCAUCGAUCUCGCCGCCAUGCUCCCGAUUCCCCAGAUCAUUAUCUGGUUUGUGAUACCAGCUGUGAGCACCACCUCAGCAAACCACACCAACAACACGCUGUCGAUGAUCGUGCUGAUCCAGUACAUACCCAGAGUGUUCCUCAUCAUAUCCCUCAACUCCAAGAUCGUCAAGUCCAGUGGAGUGGUCACAAGAACUGCCUGGGCAGGGGCUGCCUACAACCUGCUUCUCUACACACUCGCCAGUCAUGUUCUCGGCGCCCUGUGGUACCUCUUGUCCAUUGAGAGGCAGUACACCUGCUGGGUGGACCAAUGCACAAGCGAUAAUGGCACUGACCCCAGGGUGCCCAUAUGUGACAUGAGCUAUCUGGACUGCAAAACGCUUGAGGAUCCUGUUCGGAUGAAGUGGCACGCGGCCAGCAACAUCACUAAGCAGUGCGGACUUCCCGGGGCGAAAUUUGAGUACGGGUUGUUCGAGGAUGCUCUGAAGCUCGAUAUCGUCGACGCGUCCUUCUUCGAGAAGUAUCUCUACUGCCUCUGGUGGGGUUUCCGGAACUUGAGUUCUUAUGGACAGAACUUGCAGAACAGCACCUACGCAGGAGAGACUAUAUUCUGCAUCCUCAUCUGCAUCAUGGGCCUUGUUUUCUUCUCACAUCUCAUUGGAAACAUGCAGACGUACUUGCAGUCGAUGACGGUGAGGCUGGAGGAGUGGCGGGUGAAGCGGCGCGACAUCGAGGAGUGGAUGCGUCACCGGCAGCUUCCCCUGGAGCUCCAGGAGCGCGUCCGGAGGUUCUUCCAGUACAAGUGGCUGGCCACCAGGGGCGUCGACGAGGAAUCCAUCCUCCAGUCGCUGCCCCUCGACCUCCGCCGCGAGAUCCAGCGCCACCUCUGCCUCGCCCUCGUCCGGCGGGUGCCUUUCUUCUCGCAGAUGGACGAGCAGCUGCUGGACGCCAUCUGCGAGCGGCUGGUGUCGUCGCUGAGCACCAAGGACGCGUACAUUGUGCGGGAGGGCGACCCCGUGAGCGAGAUGCUCUUCAUCAUCCGUGGCGAGCUGGAGAGCUCGACGACGGACGGCGGCCGGACCAACUUCUUCAGCUCCAUCACGCUCCGGCCGGGGGACUUCUGCGGCGAGGAGCUGCUGACGUGGGCGCUGAUGCCCAACCCGAGCCUCAACUUCCCGCAGUCCACGCGCACGGUGCGGUCGGUGACGGAGGUGGAGGCGUUCGCGCUCCGGGCCGAGGACCUCAAGUACGUGGCCAACCAGUUCAAGCGCCUCCACAGCAAGCGGCUGCAGCACGCGUUCCGGUACUACUCCCACCAGUGGCGGAGCUGGGGCGCCUGCUUCGUGCAGGGCGCCUGGAGGCGGUACAAGAAGAGGAAGCUCGCCAGGGAGCUCAUGAAGCAGGAGGGGCUCCUCUACGACCAGGGCGACGACGACGGGCAAGGCGGGGCUGGCGCCAUCGCCGGCGCCGACGCCAGCACGCCGCUGCUCGGCGAGUACAAGGGCGGCGCUGGCGCGGCGUCGUCGUCCGCGGAGGGCGCCGACGGCGGCGGCACGCACCUGGGCGCCACGUUCCUGGCAUCCAAGUUCGCCAAGAACACCAAGAAGGGCGCGCACCAGAAGAGCAUGUCGCAGCGGAUCGACGACGUGUCCACCAUGAAGUUCCCCAAGCUGGCCAAGCCCGACGAGCCGGAUUUCUCUUUGCACUCCGAGGACACGCUGUAA